UGUACAUUAGUUUAAGAAAAACACCUUAUUUUCUGUAGGGAAAUGGAAAAUCCAUGUAUCA
RNAcentral lists this transfer RNA (61 nucleotides) under Penenirmus auritus. RNAcentral's name for it is "tRNA-Glu". Lineage: Eukaryota; Metazoa; Arthropoda; Insecta; Psocodea; Philopteridae. The record is from RNAcentral.